This 506-nucleotide ribosomal RNA is filed under the name uncultured bacterium. RNAcentral describes it as "bacterial SSU rRNA". It matches the Rfam family "Bacterial small subunit ribosomal RNA", at positions 23 to 518 of the family's 1533-position model. The record is from RNAcentral.
CUUAGGAUGAACGCUAGCUACAGGCGUUAACACAUGCAAGUCGAGGGGCAGCAUUGGGAUAGCUGCAUUCAGAUGGCGACCGGCGCACGGGUGAGUAACGCGUAUCCAACCUUCCUGGCCAGUAGGGAACAGCCCGGCGAAAGUCGGAUUAAUGCCCUAUGUUCUUCAAUGCGGACAUCUAAGUUGAAGGAAAGAUUCAUCGCUGGCAGAUGGGGAUGCGUCCGAUUAGGCUUGCCGGCGGGGUAACGGCCACCGGGGCGACGAUCGGUAGGGGUUCUGAGAGGAAGGUCCCCCACACUGGUACUGAGACACGGACCAGACUCCUACGGGAGGCAGCAGUGAGGAAUAUUGGUCAAUGGGCGUAAGCCUGAACCAGCCAAGUAGCGUGCAGGAAUGACGGCCCUACGGGUUGUAAACUGCUUUUAUGCGGGGAUAAAGUGCGGCACGUGUGCCGCUUUGCAGGUACCGCAUGAAUAAGGACCGGCUAAUUCCGUGCCAGCAGCGGC